This 128-nucleotide ribosomal RNA is filed under the name Candidatus Ornithospirochaeta avicola. Its description in RNAcentral is "partial 16S ribosomal RNA". It matches the Rfam family "Bacterial small subunit ribosomal RNA", at positions 1 to 129 of the family's 1533-position model. Lineage: Bacteria; Pseudomonadati; Spirochaetota; Spirochaetia; Spirochaetales; Spirochaetaceae. The record is from RNAcentral.
AUAACGGAGAGUUUGAUCCUGGCUCAGAACGAACGCUGGCGGCGCGUUUUAAGCAUGCAAGUCGAGCGAAUGGCCAACUUCGGUUGGACGGAAGCGGCGGACGGGUGAGUAACACGUGGGUAAUCUGC